Molecule: unclassified non-coding RNA, 354 nt
Filed under: soil metagenome
Description: partial contains 5.8S ribosomal RNA, internal transcribed spacer 2, and large subunit ribosomal RNA
Rfam family: 5.8S ribosomal RNA (bases 1-120)
Source: RNAcentral
GAUGAAGAACGCAGCGAAAUGCGAUAAGUCAUGUGAAUUGCAGAAUUCAGUGAAUCAUCGAAUCUUUGAACGCACCUUGCGCCUUUUGGUAUUCCGAAAGGCAUGCCUGUUUGAGUGUCAUGAAAUCUCAAUCCUCCUAGGUUUUUGACCUGGUUGGACUUGGACAUGGGCGUCUGCCAGCAAUGGCUCGCCUUAAAUGACUUAGUGGAACAUCCCACAUCAGUGUUAGACGUAAUAAGUUUCGUCUCUCCUUGUGGUGAUGACUGCUCAUAAUCUGCCAUCGCGCACUUUUGACUUUGACCUCAAAUCAGGUAGGGCUACCCGCUGAACUUAAGCAUAUCAAUAAGCGGAGGA